This 5474-nucleotide long non-coding RNA is filed under the name Lynx pardinus (Iberian lynx). Lineage: Eukaryota; Metazoa; Chordata; Mammalia; Carnivora; Felidae. The record is from RNAcentral.
CGGAGGUGUCCGGAAGCUCUCUCUGGGAGCGGAGGUGUGCGGUUGCUGUCUCUGAGCGCGGAGGUGUCCGGAAUUUCACGGUUUCUCGGUGAGCAAAGCUCUAGGUUCGCCGGGGUGUCUGCACGCCGGUGCUCAGAGAAGCCGGCGACUGCUCGGGGUGGGGGUGGGCCCUCGGUGCGUCCUGGGUCGGGUAGGCCCUAUCCUGUCCUUUCCUCCCCCUCCCCCCCCCGAAGUCGCCGGGGUGGGCAGAUCUCUCGGGGCCGCCGCCGCUUCUGUGCUGGGUGCCAGGCUGGCACACUGGGACGGCUUGCAGCCGGCUCUGCUUGUCGCCCCGCUCCACCCCCCGGACCCCGAACCCCGAACCCGGGCCACAGCGGGUCUUCGGGCUGGUCCCUUCCCCUCGCUGCACCCGUGCUAGGGAUCAUCCCAACGUGAUAAAGGGCGCUAGCGCAGUGUUGAGUGGCUGUUCCGAAACUGCGACGCCCCUACCAAGUAUUUGGCUUCAGUUCUCUCCAUAGAGGAAGGGGCUCCCUGUGUAUGUGGAGAGGUGUAUGUGGGUUAUGGCUAGAAACAGAAUUCUUCUCUAGAUGUUAGGUCUAAAGACUUAAACAGAAUUGAGUUACUGCUGAUUUGUUACCUACCGGCUUUUGGAAAUUGUCUUUAAUCUCCCCUCUCCCCGGGGUUUAGGCCAGAAAUGUGCAGAUGUGGGCACCUUGCCCAUGUAAAUGUUAGUUAACAUUUAGAAGCUUUUUUAUGCACCUAGUCAACAGAUGUAUGGGACCAACUAUUGGCCGGCCCUAUAUAAACUCUUAUCGAUACGUAUUCAGAAGGUAGGAGUUAUAGGUGUGUAUGUUGGCAUUAUCUAUAUUAGCAUAUGCUCUAGAACUGUGUUGUUCACUAUGGUACCCACUAGCUACAUAGGAUAAUGAGCACUUGAUAUGUUCCCAGUCCUAAUUGAGAUGUGUGGUAGUGUAAAACAGCGAAUUUGGGAGAGCUAGUAUGAAAAAGAAUUAAAAUAUCCAUCAUUUGUUUUUACCAAUUACAUGUUGAAAUAGCAGUGUUUUUGGAUACACUGGUGAGGCAAAAUGUUACUAAUUUCGUCUGUGUAUUUAAAAAAAAUUUUUUUAAUGUUUAUUUUAGAGAGAGACCGAGUUCGAGUGGGGGAGGGGCAGAGACAGAGGGAUUCACAGAAUCCUAAGCAGGCUCCAGGCUGUCAGCACAGAACCCAAUGUGGGGCUCCAACUCACAGACCGAGAGAUCAUGACUUGAGCCGAAGUCGGACGCUUAACCGACUGAGCCACCCAGGUGCCCCUAUUUUGUAGUUUUAAUUAUUUUGUGUAACCAUUUUAAAAAAUAGAUGAGGAGCACCUGUUUAUUUUUUAAAGUGGUUACUAGAAAAUUUUUAAUUCUAUCUGUGGCUUGCAUUAUAUUCCUAUCGGACAGUACUGCUUUAGAAAGGGGUCAGCAAAUUGUGGCCUGCAGCUAAAUCCAGCCUGCCUGUCUUUGAAAAAAAAGAUUUGUUGGAGCAAAGCCUUACUCAUUCUUUUAUGUAUUGUCUGCGGCAGAGUUGAGGAGUUCAUACAGAGAUUGGAUGGCCUGCACAGCCUAAAAUAUUUCCUAUCUGGCCUUUUACAGAAAAAGAUUUGCUGACCCCUUGCUGCAAAACAAUGCCUGCUAUGGUAGAUACAUGUCAUGUGAGCUUUUUAAUUAGAGUCCUGUGUUAAUUGUCAGGCCUACUGUGUGACAGGCACGGUUCUAAGGACUUUAUAAGGACUAUGUCAUUUAUUUCCCGUAUUAAUCCUAGGAUGUGGGAUUUCCUUGAUUUUGGAGAUGAGGAAAUCGAGGCACAAAAUCGUCAAGAGACAUGCCAGAUGUGCUCAACACCCCUCCCUUCUAGAAAUUGCACCCUCCUGACCCUCCUUAUCCCCAAAUGCUUGACACUGGGAGUCUAUUCGAUUAGCCCCUAGUGGGCACCGUGCUGCUGCAUUUGUUUUUUUUCUUUUAUAUGACUUUUUAAACUAGAAUUGAGGUGACGUUGGGUCUCCUGUGGAAGCAGCUGAGAGGCACUGGGCUUGGGGGAAGUGGGUACAAGCAAGCGGUUCCAUAGAAGGGAGCGCACAAGCAGAGAGGAGAGGGCGCAGCCUGGGUGCUCUUUUCUCCUUUAAUAAAAACCCUGUUUGUUGAGAAAUAGUAAAGCACUGGCCAAGUGUUUUCCAGGCAUUCUCCGUGAAUGAAACAGACAUCAUUCUUUUAUGGUCUUGUGGGCAAGGCAGACAAUAAACCAUUUUUUCAGUGCGAUACACGCCAUGAAAAACCACUGCCAAUAUUUGCAGUUUUUGAACAGGUCUCACUCAUCUGUAAGAUGGAGAUAAGCCGCAUGCUUGUCUCGGGGUUGUCGUGAGGCUUGAGAUGACGGGAGCGCGUACGGCACGUAGACUUGUUCAGUAACCCCACUGGGUGCCUUCUGCCGUGGAGAGGUAAGGGAGGGAAUGAGUAUGGGCAGUCGGGGCAUCGUGACACUUGCAACAUCGCAACCGCCGUGCCCGGCAAGUGUUUUUAACACGUCCUGAGGGGGCUCGUCCAGCAAAACCCAAAACCAGAGCGGUUCUGUACAUUCAGUCCAGGAACAGGACAGGAGCUGUCUUUGGGCUGAUGGCAGCAGAACUGAGCCGGUCCCAUUGAGCGAGGGCCCUGUGCCCAUGUACAGAGCAGUGGCAGCAGCUCAGAGUCCCCUGGAUGGCUGGGAAAGCACCUAGGCCUACCUUCAGGGAUCUUGAUCCAGUGUGUCUGGGACAGGGCCCUGGCCUCGGCUUUGUUUUUGCUAAUUUCUCCAGAUGACUCCGGUUUAUAGGCAGGACUGAGAAGCGCUCGCGGUGUGGAUCAGGCUAGGCUCAGGGAGCUACGGAGGUGAAGCACAGAGUUGUGAAAUAGGCGGGGCCUGUGAAUGGUUCUGAGGUCUCAGAGGAGGCUGCUGGGGGGGGGGGGCAGGGGGCUUUUUAUCGCCUGGCGGGGGACCUCGGGCUCCGUCCUGAGGGCAGAGGGAAACCUCUGGAGGGCCGGGAACAUGAGGGAAUGUCUUGGAGAGAUGCGUAGUAUUUCAUUUCUACCCCCACCGUGCGGCUCAAACACAAAACCCCGAGAUCAAGAGUCUCAUGGUCUACUGACAGAGCCAGCCAGGUGCCCCUGUGAUAUUUAUUAAAUGAGCUCUGUGGAACUCUAAACUGGACCCACAGCUUACUUUGUCUCCUUGUGGCACUUCUCAAAAUUUUAUAUCUCGGUUGCUUUCACAGUAUACCAUCCUAGGGCAGUAAAUGCUUUAUAUCCGCAUCAUUGUCCCACAGAGGGUAUAGAAAGUUUGACAGGAUGUAAAUGCUGUUAAAAAUAUAGAGGAGAAUGGAAAACAGUAUGGCGGUUCUUCGAAAAAUUGGAAAUAGAAUUCCCAUAUGACCCAGCAAUCGCACUCCUGGGUAUUUACCCAAAAGCAUCGAAAGCAGGGUCUUGAAGAGAGAUUGGUACAUCCAGGUUCCCGGCACCGUUAGUCACGCUGGCCAAAAGGUAGAAGCAGCCCAUGUGUCCACUGGCAGAUGAGCAGAUAAGUAAAAUGUGCUUUAUGCAUACAAUGGAAUAUGAUUCAGUCUUAAUAAGGUUCCACUGCAUGUAUAGACCACACGUGCCAGGACACGUGCUACCAUGCCGGUGAGCCUGGAGGACAUUAUGCUAAGUGAAAUGAGCCAGACACAAGAGGCCACCUGCUGUAUGAUUCCAGUUCAAUGCGGCCUGUAGUCACAUUCAGAGACAGUAGGGUGAUGGUGGCCAAGGGCCACGCAGGGGGAAGGAAUGGGCAGUUGUUUAAUGGGUACAAAGUUUGUUUUGCAAGAUGCAAAGAACUCUGGGCAUUGGUUGCACAACAACAUGAACGUACUUACUGUCACUUCACUGUUCGCUGAAAAAUGGCUAAGAUGCUAAGUCUUGGGGUAUGUGUGUUUUUUCACAAUCAAAACUGAAAAAGAAGGAAAUGAGAGGUAAAUAAAAAGACAUGCAUUCCUUCAGAAUCUCCUGGAGACUCUGACCCUUGGUUGAGAAAUUCUGGCCUGAGUUAAAUAUUGUCCAGCCUCCACAUGGGCACUGUAGGCCUGUCUGUUAUUAACCACCUUGCUGACAUGUGGCAAACUUCAAUCCCGAUCCCUUUGGUAGCGAUGCAUAUAAAGUGAAUGUGGAAUGCAGGCCAGGUGAGUGUUCUUUCUUUGUCAGGCAACUUGCCAACAAGCUGGUGGGGAGGGUUCAAGUGUAUUAAGCAGCUUGAGACCUUAUCGUGAUGUGGGCUGCUAGGCAUCCUCCAGAUCCCAGGAUCUCAGGCAGACGGUUCGGAGAAAUGUUCAGCCAUUGAAGGCAAGUAUUUUUUUAUUUUUCUGUGUUAUCUUGCCUGUUCUUUGUCCGCUGAGCCUUUUUCUUUUCUUUUCUUUUUUGACACAGAGAGGGAGAAAGAGAGAGAUUGCACACGUGCACUAGGUGGGGAGGACAGAGGAAGAGGGAGAGAGAGAAUUCCAAGGAGGCUGCAGGCUAUCAGCGCCGUCCGCGCAGAACGCGACACAAGCCUGAGUCCCGUGAGCCACUAGAUGAUGACCUCAGCCGAAAUCCAGAGUGGAACGCUCAACCGCUUAACCGACUGAGCCAGCCAGGUGCCCCAGUGAGCCUUUGAUUCUCAGGAAGACCUCUUUCACUGUUUCCAGUGUUUCAAAGUGGAAUUUUAAAAAGGUAAAACAAUGAUCUUGAAGUACUGAUUCUUGCUAACGAGAAAUAUAGCCACUUAAGAUCCUGAAUUGCUGGCCCACUGAGUCUUAAAUAAUUUAAAAAAAAAAAAAAAAAGACCACCCAGGUUGCCUUCAUUCCAACUCCCUCCCGUGGCAAAAAUGCCAGACUCGCAAUCUUGGUCAUUCUUGAGCUGGCCCCACAGGGAGAACUUGAGUAGGAACAUCAUAGCUGUGACCAAGGGUACGUAACCGUUCGUAUUUGAGGGGAGAUUCAUCUGGUUUAGACUCAGUAACAGACUUCGUUCUGACUGCUGGUCUGAAGGCAAAGCCACAGGUCCUGUAACACCUGUAUGAUACUCUGAUUCCAAGAGAAGGUAGAAGACUGAUCCGCCGGCCGUGUCCAAUUUGCAAAUAUUAUAAAUACAUGUUUACCAUGAAAUUACAUUGGACUAGUCACUUUUCUGGUUGUGAAAAUAAUACGUACUCAUACAAAAUACAGGAAGGAGUAAAAGAACGAACAAAAAUCACCUAAAAUCUUACCGUUCAGAAAAUGUCACUAAAAUUUUUGUGUAUUUAUUUUCAACCUUUUCUCUUCACAUGUGAUUUUUAGUGUUCGAGGGGAAGAUGGCGGCAUAGGAGGACGCUGGCCUCAGCUCGUCCUGCUGAUCACUUAGAUUCCACCCACAUCUGCCUAAAUAACCCAGAAAACCACCAGAAGACUAG